UGGGGAAUAUUGCGCAAUGGGGGCAACCCUGACGCAGCAAUGCCGCGUGAGUGAAGAAGGCCCUCGGGUCGUAAAGCUCUUUUAUGGGGGAAGAUGAUGACGGUACCCCAUGAAUAAGCACCGGCUAACUACGUGCCAGCAGCCGCGGUAACACGUAGGGUGCGAGCGUUGUUCGGAAUUACUGGGCGUAAAGGGCGUGCAGGCGGAUAGGUUAGCCGGAGGUGAAAGCCCGGGGCUCAACCCCGGAGGGUCUUUCGGAACUGCCUGUCUAGAGAGAGUCAGGGGCCAGCGGAAUUCCUGGUGUAGAGGUGAAAUUCGUAGAGAUCAGGAGGAACACCGGCGGCGAAAGCGGCUGGCUGGGACUACUCUGACGCUGAGGCGCGAAAGCGUGGGGAGCAAACAGG
RNAcentral lists this ribosomal RNA (404 nucleotides) under uncultured bacterium. Its description in RNAcentral is "bacterial SSU rRNA". It matches the Rfam family "Bacterial small subunit ribosomal RNA", at positions 355 to 776 of the family's 1533-position model. The record is from RNAcentral.